AGUCGUCGCUCUUCGUUCCAUAACCUCCAACGUCAUCGCUCUUCUUUCCAUAGCCUCCAAAUUCAUCGCUCUUUUUUUCCGAAUCGGUGCUGAACUCGUCGGAGGUUUUCCCGUAGCCUCCACCGCUGUAAUCGUCGGAUUUCUUGCCAUAUCCACUGGAGUAGUCAUCGGAUUUUCUCCCGUAGCCUUCACCUUCGUUGUCGUAGUCGUCAGAUUUCUUGCUGUAGCCGUCGGACUUUCUGCCGCCAUAACCACCACCUCCACUGCCGUAGUCGUCAGAUUUGGCCUUGUAUCCAUCCUCAUUGUCGUCGUAGUUGGAAGAAUUCUUGCUCCUUCCUCCUCCAUAGCCGCCGCUAUAGUUGUCCUCCCCUGUGGCUACGCCCUCGGUGUUGGAAUCGUCGUAGUUACUCCUCCUUCCCGUGUAAGACAUUGUCGCGAAACGCUGCGAAAUUACCACAAGAAUGGAUGUAAGUUGAGGACUGUAGAUCAGAGAAUGCAAGCGAAAGAAAUGCUUCAACUCACCAGAGAAACUUUCGAAACUUUCGAGAGAACUAUGCAAGAACUUUUCCUGGCCGAUAUAUCCGUGAGAAGCUCGAGGGCGUCGUUUUAUACUGAUAGAUUUGCCCGCGGAUCGACGAGUAAACUCCUACAGCCGGUUCCCACACACAGAGCAACCGACACCUGCAAGUUCCAGCAAGCAUAUCUCCACGAAAUGUAUACGCAUAUACCACCCGCGCGAUAAAAGCUUUACGAUGUCUCUCUCGUGCUCGUGAAGGCCACCAAACGGAGUAGUGAUUUUCUUAAAGGGGCCCGGCGAUGACCAAUUCAUCCACAUUCAUGCAUGGUAAAUCUCCACCGACGCAUCCAUCUGGGAUUAUUUUUCGCGUAGAAUAUAGAUCAUACUCUGCACGAACGAUACCAAACUUCCGCAAUGGGGUCGAGUUUAUCAUCCCUGAGCUUUAUCGUCCCUGAGUUUACUGUGCUGGACAAAGAUUCUUACCCAAAAUCUUGAGUAGAAAGGAUUCACCCUCUACACAGGAAACCUUGGCAAUCGAAUCAAUUCCAACAAGAUUGCACCCUCUCCUGCGAGGCCAAUCCAGCGUGAAAACAAGGAAAAGAUUCGUCGCUAGGAAGAAAUUUCUUCACCAGCCUUGUUUACUGCCGCGCACACGACUCCAAAUUCCAACCCGAAACACCAAAAGAAAUCCACGUGUUGCCAAGUGAACUCUUAUCUGUGUUUUCUCUCCAGAAAUAUUGGAGCGAACCAUCUUGAUCUUCCAUUUAUUCUCAUAGCAUAUAAACCAAAACCAUAGUCCUUUUUCUUUGACCUUUAUCGCCUUCUUUCUACAAAGUGGUGUGAUAGCUCCCUGGAAAGCGAAAUAUGUCCCAGAGCUUGAAAUCGUGGAGAUCUCUUAGCUAAACCAGUGCUUCUUCUUUGUGACUCCUUCUUCUUGAUCCUCCAGUUCUUCCACGCCGUCCUUGCGUUCCUCCUUCUCGUGGUGCUCGUAAAUCGCGUACCCGCCAGAUCCAGUCGCCACAGCAGCAGCAAUGCCGGCCUCGGUUUUGUGCCUUAUUCCAUGCUCGGGAUCCACUUUGGCCUCGUGAGCUUCAUACUGAAAGAACAAACCAUUGACCAUCUUCAAGAACAAGAAGAAGAAAAGCGUUUUCCUCUUACCGCGGCAUAAGCUCCAGCAACCACUCCUCCAACAAUGCCAAUUCUCUCGUGCCUCCUGUGCUCCUUGACGUCGUCCUCGGCAUCGUCCAGUUUCUCCUUCACCGAGAACUCUUCUUCUUCCUGGUUUUUCCUUGUAUAGUCACUCUCAUCGUCCUUUCGGACACCAUAUCCGGAACCUUGAUCGUAAUUGCCAUCCUCUUGUUUCUUACUCCGCCCACCAUAGCCAUCUCCUUGAGUGUAGUCUUCCUCCUCCGGUUUCUUCGUUCGGUCACCAUAGCUGCUCUUCUUUCCAUAGCCUCCAAAUUCAUCGUUCUUCUCUCCGUAGCCUCCAAAUUCAUUGCUCUUCUUUUCCGAAUCAUAGUUCUCGGUGCUGAACUCGUCGGAGGUUUUCCCGUAGCCUCCACCGCUGUAAUCGUCGGAUUUCUUGCCAUAUCCACUGGAGUAGUCAUCGGAUUUUCUCCCGUAGCCUUCACCUUCGUUGUCGUAGUCGCCAGAUUUCUUGCUGUAGC
This 2184-nucleotide long non-coding RNA is filed under the name Selaginella moellendorffii. RNAcentral describes it as "long non-coding RNA (SMOE_LNC002432)". The record is from RNAcentral. Lineage: Eukaryota; Viridiplantae; Streptophyta; Lycopodiopsida; Selaginellales; Selaginellaceae.